ACUGAUGGAAAAGCUGCAGUUAGGUGGUAAAAUGGAUAGAGGGCUGGGCCUGGAGUUAGGAACAUCUGAGUUUGAAUCUGGGUCCUAGUCUUUUCCUUCGGCAACCGAAAGUGAAGUUGGCCUUGUCCAUCUUCUCUCUUAAAGCUGGAAGCCAGGAGCUCCUGAAGUGACUUGACAAUUGAAGAGUCCCCAAGAAGACUCAAUGUUUGAAGAAUCUCUAAAGGUAACUGGCCCUGAAGAGUCCUAAGGGAGAGACUGGCUGUAGCUCUCUCAUCACCACCCAUUCAUUUCCACCACUAAGGAGAGAGUCUCAUACCCAUGGACUUUGGGACAGGAGCUACACAUAUAUGGGAAGAAAAGGGAAGAAGACCAGAAAGGUGUGGAUGUGGGAAGAAUGAAAUAAAAGUCCAAUUAAUGGAUGAGGCAGAG
Phascolarctos cinereus (koala) is the source of this 429-nucleotide non-coding RNA. Lineage: Eukaryota; Metazoa; Chordata; Mammalia; Diprotodontia; Phascolarctidae. The record is from RefSeq and is a predicted model, not a curated record.